This is a non-coding RNA of Pseudomonadales bacterium, 287 nucleotides long. The record is from Rfam. Lineage: Bacteria; Pseudomonadati; Pseudomonadota; Gammaproteobacteria; Pseudomonadales.
CCUCUUCGAUCUGCUGCGGACAGAUGAAGUGGAUAUGCGUGUCGAUGCCGCCGGCGGUGAGGAUCAUGCCUUCGCCGGCGAUCACCUCGGUGCCGGCACCGAUGGCAAUCGUGACAUCGGGCUGGAUGUCCGGGUUGCCGGCCUUGCCGAUGGCGGCGAUGCGGCCGUCCUUCAAGCCGACAUCGGCCUUGACCACGCCCCAGUGGUCGAUGAUCAGCGCGUUGGUGAUCAGGGUGUCGACUACGUCCGCCGCGCACAGCUGGCUCUGGCCCAUGCCGUCGCGGAUG